UGUUUGGUGCUAAUCGAUGGUUUUAUUUUUUUCUAACGAAAAAAAGUUAAACUUCUCUGGUGUCAGCUUGUUUAAUGUGAAUGUCUUCUAGUGUCUUCUCUGCUCUGGGACAGUAAGCUGAAUGUCUUUGAGUUGUGGACAAAAC
Long non-coding RNA from Etheostoma spectabile (orangethroat darter), 145 nucleotides. RefSeq lists it as uncharacterized. The record is from RefSeq and is a predicted model, not a curated record. NCBI's taxonomy places the organism in Eukaryota, Metazoa, Chordata, Actinopteri, Perciformes, Percidae. The transcript has 2 exons.